This 442-nucleotide RNase P RNA is filed under the name Candidatus Ryanbacteria bacterium CG10_big_fil_rev_8_21_14_0_10_43_42. RNAcentral's name for it is "RNase P RNA component class A". It matches the Rfam family "Bacterial RNase P class A". From Rfam's summary of the family: Ribonuclease P (RNase P) is a ubiquitous endoribonuclease, found in archaea, bacteria and eukarya as well as chloroplasts and mitochondria. The record is from RNAcentral. Lineage: Bacteria; Candidatus Ryaniibacteriota.
GUUGUAUAUCGGAUGAUCGCCGGGUGUAUAUCUAUUUCUUAGAUACAUAUCUAUUAGAAAUAGAUAUAUGUCGGGAGGAAAGUCCGGGCACCGCUUUGACGCAAUGUCGAAGGAGUGAUAGCGGCUAACGGCCGCCUUCCGCAUUAUGCGGAACGAGAUAGUGUCACAGAAACUAUACCGCCCGGCACAUAUUUGGUAUGUAUUCGCAUAUCAAAUAUGUGCCGGGUAAGGGUGAAAAGAGGUGAGGUAAGAGCUCACAGCCGGCAUUGGCAACAAUAUCGGGUGAAAAACACUUAUCCGGUGCAAUCCUGUGCCUUGCAUUACUUAAUGUAAGGAAGGAGCUUGAUCGUACAAGUAAUUGUACGACUAGAUAGAUGAUCAUCGCCAAUUUUAUAUUCUGUAUAAAAUUGGUACAGAACCCGGCUUAUAGAUAUACGCACGU